This 2915-nucleotide ribosomal RNA is filed under the name Pseudomonas sp. R32. Its description in RNAcentral is "23S ribosomal RNA". It matches the Rfam family "Bacterial large subunit ribosomal RNA". The record is from RNAcentral. Lineage: Bacteria; Pseudomonadati; Pseudomonadota; Gammaproteobacteria; Pseudomonadales; Pseudomonadaceae.
GUUAUAUGGUCAAGUGAAGAAGCGCAUACGGUGGAUGCCUUGGCAGUCAGAGGCGAUGAAAGACGUGGUAGCCUGCGAUAAGCUUCGGGGAGUCGGCAAACAGACUUUGAUCCGGAGAUGUCUGAAUGGGGGAACCCACUCAGCAUAAGCUGAGUAUCUUGUACUGAAUACAUAGGUGCAAGAGGCGAACCAGGGGAACUGAAACAUCUAAGUACCCUGAGGAAAAGAAAUCAACCGAGAUUCCCUUAGUAGUGGCGAGCGAACGGGGACUAGCCCUUAAGUGGCUUUGAGAUUAGCGGAACGCUCUGGAAAGUGCGGCCAUAGUGGGUGAUAGCCCUGUACGCGAAAAUCUCUUAGUCAUGAAAUCGAGUAGGACGGAGCACGAGAAACUUUGUCUGAAUAUGGGGGGACCAUCCUCCAAGGCUAAAUACUACUGACUGACCGAUAGUGAACCAGUACCGUGAGGGAAAGGCGAAAAGAACCCCGGAGAGGGGAGUGAAAUAGAACCUGAAACCGUAUGCGUACAAGCAGUGGGAGCCUACUUUGUUAGGUGACUGCGUACCUUUUGUAUAAUGGGUCAGCGACUUAUAUUCAGUGGCGAGCUUAACCGAAUAGGGGAGGCGUAGCGAAAGCGAGUCUUAAUAGGGCGUUUAGUCGCUGGGUAUAGACCCGAAACCGGGCGAUCUAUCCAUGGGCAGGUUGAAGGUUAGGUAACACUGACUGGAGGACCGAACCGACUACCGUUGAAAAGUUAGCGGAUGACCUGUGGAUCGGAGUGAAAGGCUAAUCAAGCUCGGAGAUAGCUGGUUCUCCUCGAAAGCUAUUUAGGUAGCGCCUCAUGUAUCACUGUAGGGGGUAGAGCACUGUUUCGGCUAGGGGGUCAUCCCGACUUACCAAACCGAUGCAAACUCCGAAUACCUACAAGUGCCGAGCAUGGGAGACACACGGCGGGUGCUAACGUCCGUCGUGAAAAGGGAAACAACCCAGACCGUCAGCUAAGGUCCCAAAGUUAUGGUUAAGUGGGAAACGAUGUGGGAAGGCUUAGACAGCUAGGAGGUUGGCUUAGAAGCAGCCACCCUUUAAAGAAAGCGUAAUAGCUCACUAGUCGAGUCGGCCUGCGCGGAAGAUGUAACGGGGCUCAAACCAUACACCGAAGCUACGGGUAUCACUUAGGUGAUGCGGUAGAGGAGCGUUCUGUAAGCCUGUGAAGGUGAGUUGAGAAGCUUGCUGGAGGUAUCAGAAGUGCGAAUGCUGACAUGAGUAACGACAAUGGGAGUGAAAAACUCCCACGCCGAAAGACCAAGGUUUCCUGCGCAACGUUAAUCGACGCAGGGUUAGUCGGUCCCUAAGGCGAGGCUGAAAAGCGUAGUCGAUGGAAAACAGGUUAAUAUUCCUGUACUUCUAGUUAUUGCGAUGGAGGGACGGAGAAGGCUAGGCCAGCUUGGCGUUGGUUGUCCAAGUUUAAGGUGGUAGGCUGAGAUCUUAGGUAAAUCCGGGAUCUUAAGGCCGAGAGCUGAUGACGAGUUGCCAUUAGGCGACGAAGUGGUUGAUGCCAUGCUUCCAAGAAAAGCUUCUAAGCUUCAGAUAACUAGGAACCGUACCCCAAACCGACACAGGUGGUUGGGUAGAGAAUACCAAGGCGCUUGAGAGAACUCGGGUGAAGGAACUAGGCAAAAUGGCACCGUAACUUCGGGAGAAGGUGCGCCGGUGAGGGUGAAGGACUUGCUCCGUAAGCCCAUGCCGGUCGAAGAUACCAGGCCGCUGCGACUGUUUAUUAAAAACACAGCACUCUGCAAACACGAAAGUGGACGUAUAGGGUGUGACGCCUGCCCGGUGCCGGAAGGUUAAUUGAUGGGGUUAGCUAACGCGAAGCUCUUGAUCGAAGCCCCGGUAAACGGCGGCCGUAACUAUAACGGUCCUAAGGUAGCGAAAUUCCUUGUCGGGUAAGUUCCGACCUGCACGAAUGGCGUAACGAUGGCGGCGCUGUCUCCACCCGAGACUCAGUGAAAUUGAAAUCGCUGUGAAGAUGCAGUGUAUCCGCGGCUAGACGGAAAGACCCCGUGAACCUUUACUAUAGCUUUGCACUGGACUUUGAAUUUGCUUGUGUAGGAUAGGUGGGAGGCUUUGAAGCGUGGACGCCAGUUCGCGUGGAGCCAUCCUUGAAAUACCACCCUGGCAACUUUGAGGUUCUAACUCAGGUCCGUUAUCCGGAUCGAGGACAGUGUAUGGUGGGUAGUUUGACUGGGGCGGUCUCCUCCUAAAGAGUAACGGAGGAGUACGAAGGUGCGCUCAGACCGGUCGGAAAUCGGUCGUAGAGUAUAAAGGCAAAAGCGCGCUUGACUGCGAGACAGACACGUCGAGCAGGUACGAAAGUAGGUCUUAGUGAUCCGGUGGUUCUGUAUGGAAGGGCCAUCGCUCAACGGAUAAAAGGUACUCCGGGGAUAACAGGCUGAUACCGCCCAAGAGUUCAUAUCGACGGCGGUGUUUGGCACCUCGAUGUCGGCUCAUCACAUCCUGGGGCUGAAGCCGGUCCCAAGGGUAUGGCUGUUCGCCAUUUAAAGUGGUACGCGAGCUGGGUUUAGAACGUCGUGAGACAGUUCGGUCCCUAUCUGCCGUGGACGUUUGAGAUUUGAGAGGGGCUGCUCCUAGUACGAGAGGACCGGAGUGGACGAACCUCUGGUGUUCCGGUUGUCACGCCAGUGGCAUUGCCGGGUAGCUAUGUUCGGAAGAGAUAACCGCUGAAAGCAUCUAAGCGGGAAACUUGCCUCAAGAUGAGAUCUCACUGGAGCCUUGAGCUCCCUGAAGGGCCGUCGAAGACUACGACGUUGAUAGGUUGGGUGUGUAAGCGCUGUGAGGCGUUGAGCUAACCAAUACUAAUUGCCCGUGAGGCUUGACCAUAUAACACCCAAGCAAUU